CAGCGCCACAAGUGGCAUCCACAUUUAUUGGGCCUAAAGCGUCCGUAGCCGGAUUGGAAAAUCUUUUGUGAAAUCAUGGGGCUUAACUCCAUGCCGUGCAGGAGACACUAUCAAUCUAGGGACCGGGAGGAGUCAGAAGUAUUCUGGGGGGAGCGGUAAAAUGUUAUAAUCCCCGGAGGACUCCCUGUGGCGAAGGCGUCUGACUAGAACGGAUCCGACGGUGAGGGACGAAAGCUGGGGGAGCAAACCGGAUUAGAUACCCGAGUAGUCC
Molecule: ribosomal RNA, 271 nt
Filed under: uncultured archaeon
Lineage: Archaea
Description: partial 16S ribosomal RNA
Rfam family: Archaeal small subunit ribosomal RNA
Source: RNAcentral